RNAcentral lists this ribosomal RNA (253 nucleotides) under uncultured bacterium. RNAcentral's name for it is "partial 16S ribosomal RNA". It matches the Rfam family "Bacterial small subunit ribosomal RNA", at positions 524 to 776 of the family's 1533-position model. The record is from RNAcentral.
UACGAAGGGGGCUAGCGUUGCUCGGAAUCACUGGGCGUAAAGGGUGCGUAGGCGGGUCUUUAAGUCAGGGGUGAAAUCCUGGAGCUCAACUCCAGAACUGCCUUUGAUACUGAGGAUCUUGAGUUCGGGAGAGGUGAGUGGAACUGCGAGUGUAGAGGUGAAAUUCGUAGAUAUUCGGAAGAACACCAGUGGCGAAGGCGGCUCACUGGCCCGGUACUGACGCUGAGGUGCGAAAGCGUGGGGAGCAAACAGG